AUGAACGAAUAACUUAAACGAAUAUUUAAUUCAAAUUCAGAUUAAUUUUUACUUUCCUUGCGUGUGCUAGAGCAUUCUCCAUAUCACUUGAAUACUCAGAAUCUAGUUCUUUUUUGCAUAGUCACGUACCAGGUUUUGUAACCGAGGACUUAUUUGAAUUACAGAUUUGCAAAUGCGGAGUUGCCAAGGGGCCGUACAUAAAUUACGAGCUCCAUUUUCGCAGAAUUUUGACCACCCCCCGACUGGUAUGAUGUAUACACAUGCCUCAUGUUAUAAUUAACAUGGGAAGGAUAGAAUAGCUUGAUGGCAACCACCAUAACAUGUACCGCAUUCCUUUUGUAAAGUCUCCUAGCAUAUUCAUUAAUUUCAAGCGAUCUGAUAUCAAAGAGAAGCCAGACGCUCGUUAAGACUUAAAUUGAUACUAACUGCUAGAAGACCAGGAAAAUACACACCUAUUGGCUAACAUACAUAUCUACGAGUACGAAAGGAAAGCUUCUGCUAGUCGAAGUGGGAUGGAUUACAGGACCCUGUUGACGGUGACCCUUAUCCUUGCGGCAGGAAUACACAUCAUAACUGCAUAUAUUGCAAGUAACUCCUUGGAUCAGGAUUCGCCAGGUGAUGGCGGUGGUUCUUCCGGUGGACAAAUAAUACUACAUCCAUGCCAUUGGACCGGGUGUGGCAACCCUUGGCCGAAAUGUCAGGAUGGGUAUUAUGAGAAUGACAUAAGCCGGUGCGGAUUUCCCAACAGGAAGAGACGACAAUGCUGCCGAACUUGGAGCCCGAUUCCCGCAACUUAAUUAUCCUAAACGAAAUUUAAAUAAGCCAGUUAAGCUUAGUUAUUGUCGCUAUAUGUAUUAAUAAAAUAAAACUUUAAUUUGUGCCCCGCA
Molecule: long non-coding RNA, 887 nt
Organism: Folsomia candida
Lineage: Eukaryota; Metazoa; Arthropoda; Collembola; Entomobryomorpha; Isotomidae
Exons: 2
Source: RefSeq, a predicted model, not a curated record